RNAcentral lists this long non-coding RNA (4932 nucleotides) under Mytilus galloprovincialis (Mediterranean mussel). Lineage: Eukaryota; Metazoa; Mollusca; Bivalvia; Mytilida; Mytilidae. The record is from RNAcentral.
CUCCCUUUGAUCAAAGGGAAAUCCCAUUGAAAACGAAAGUAAGUGUUGUCUUGGUUUUUAUCAAACAGAAAAUAUACAAGGACGUUAGGAGAAAAAAAUAAUUAAAUGAGUAACAUCAAUUGUGUAAGAGUCUAAGAGUAGAAAGAUUUAGUAACUAGUAGUAGUAUAGGAAAAUAAUAUAAAAAUAGAAGUUUUAAAUAAAAAUUCUGGUAAUCAUAAAAAAUCUUCUUCCUUAAUAAUAUCCAUUUAAAUUAUGGAACCAUUUUAUUACGAGUAUGGCAUGGUUAUGUUACUAUACUAUCUAAGUGAAAGGUAGCAAUCCUAAAAUCGAUGUACCAAAAAACCAAACAACAAACCUAUAUAUAUUUAUAUAUAGACAUGAUAGAUUAUUAUACAUUUUAUUUUAUUUAUUGUGACUGCUUAACUUCAUGUGAUAAUUUGAAACAGUGAAGUGGACAAGUCAGAAGCUUUUCUACUCCCCCCCCCCCCCAAAAAAAAAAGGGGGGAAGGAAAAUUAAUAUUAGGUGCGGAAUUGACUAUAAAUGGGAAUUUUGAUUUCACCAAGUGCCAAUUUGACUUGUACCCAUUACAGUAAUGACAAAUGUUGUAUUCUCACUGAAGUCUCACUCAAUUUCUGGGAGAAGACUUUAUAAGUUUGAUUACUUUGUGUCUCAUCCCUUUUUCACAUUUAGGCCAAUAAAAUAUGUUUAAACUAAACUCAAUUUAUAAUUAUUUGUCUGUUUGUCUUUUUCAUUUUUAGCCAUGGUGUUGUCUGUGUAAGUUUAUUUUCGAUUUAUAAAUUUGACUGUUGCUCUGGUAUCUUUCUCCCCUCUUUUACAAAAUGAUUUAUAUAUCACAAUCAAAUUUUAUAAAAUACCAGGACAAUCUGACUGUAGAAUAUAUAUAACAACACAAAACCAUAUGAAAGCUUAAUUUUGAAAGAAAUAGAAGAAAACUAACGGUAUUUAAUUGAUCGCAUUUUUUAAAAAUUUAAUUUCCUGUGACUAAAUGAAGGAUAAGUUGUUUCCCUUUGAACAGAAAUGGUAUAGUUAAUAAGUAUCAAAAAUGUAAUUCUUAGGCUGAUUCUAACAAUGUACUUCGAUUUUGGAUAUUGGACCAUAAUAGAUCAUAAUAGGUAACAGUCAAAUUUCAAAUUUUCAAUUCUUUGACCACAUUCAUUUUGUGUCAACCUACAUUGUAUGCUGUGUCGUCCAAUAUUCAGGUUGUAAUAUGUUACUACAAUUCAAAGUCACUGUACACCAAAACAUGAAUUAUGAACACCAACUCGCAAUACAGGCUGGAAAAAAUGCUGUAAAUAAUAUAAAACUCAGUACAGAGACGACAUAGUAUGGUUUGAUGGAGAUUUAUUUCCCCGAGGGUAUCACCAGCCCAGUAGUCAGCACUUCUGUGUUGAUUUGAGUUAUCAUUGAUGUGUCCAUAAUUAUAAAGUGUCUGAGCAGAAAGUUGAUGAACCAGGGGUAUGUCAAAGAAUGUCUUGUCCUUUUUCAAAAAAAAAGUUCAUUGGAAGGUACCAAGACCUUGUUGAUAAAUAUAUUCCGUAUCAACUUCACAAAUAAUACAUGAUAGUCUUGAUGUAUAGAUUCUGCGUACUGAUGUUGUUUAUCAUCUUAACAACGUGUUAUAUUGUUCUUCCAUUUGUCUUUGUUCUAUAUUAUAUUACUUUUACUGUUGGAAUGUUUAUGUGAUAUCCAUUUAACGUGGCUCGGUACUUAAACAUCCCGUCAAUGUGUUGGUAUUACAAAUGUAUCUUUCAUUUUUGCUGGUGUGUUUUGUAUAUGCGACUUUUUGUGUUUCUUUAUUUCUUAUAACGUGACUCUGUACUUUAAAAGGUCUUGUCAGUAUGCUAUUGUUCUAUAAUAGGUCAUUAUGAUAUAUUUCUAUUAUGAAUUAGAAAAUACGUUGAACCAAACGUCAAAAUAAAUGCGCAGUGGACUAUUUGUGGAUUCUUAUAAAUUCAAUAGAACUUUUGGACUAUUUUAAAUCUCGGUCUAUUUCUUAAAAAUCUGACAUAUUUUUGAUUUUUUAACCCUGUAUGCUACCAUUGCCCAUGUGAAAUUUUAAAAUUGUUUGAAUAAACAUUGAACGACAAAAAUAUGUGACGUAUAAAAUUUUCUGACGUCAGACACGCCAAUCAAUGAAUGUGUUUGUAGAUAGAUGUUUUUGUGUUCUGUUAAAUUGUUCCUUUUAAAAUUGUUAUACGAUGAUGACUGCUGUACCCAUAUUUUGACUAUUUUAUUUAUUAUGUCUGUUUAGUUUACGCAUCAUUGUAAAUAUAACGGAAUUUGAUGAGACUGUCAACAACGUGAGAGGUUUAGCGCUAUAAAACCAGGUUUAAUCCACCAUUUUCUACAUUUGAAAAUGCCUGUACCAAGUCAGGAAUAUGACAGCAAUUGUUCAUUCGUUUUUGAUGUGGUUUGUUUUGCCAUGUGAUUAGGGACUUCUUUUGACUGUUAACAAAACUUUGAAAUUUUGAAAUACUAAGGCUUUUCUACCUCAGGAAUAGAUUACCUUAGCUGUAUUUGACAAAAUUUUUAGUAAUUUUUGGUCUUCAAUGCUCUUCAACUUCGUACUUUAUUUGACAAUUUUUAACAUUUUUUGAUUCGAGCGUCACUGAUGAGUCUUGUGUAGACGAAACGCGCGUCUGGCGUAAAUAUUAAAUUUGAAACCUGGUAUCUAUGAUGAGUUUAUUUACAAUCACUGGGUCUAUGCCACUACUGUUGAAUAUUUAUUUCUCCGAGGGUAUAUCACCAGCCCAGUAGUCAGCACUUCUGUGUUGAUUUGAGUUAUCAUUGAUAUGUUCAUAAUUAUAAAUUGACUGUCAACAAAACUUUGAAUUUUUGGAAUACUAAGGCUUUUCUACCUCAGGAAUAGAUUACCUUAGCUGUAUUUGGCAAAACUUUUAGUAAUUUUUGGUCCUCAAUGCUCUUCAACUUCAUACUUUAUUUGACAUUUUUAACAUUUUUUGAUUCGAGCGUCACUGAUGAGCCUUGUGUGGACGAAACGCGCGUCUGGCCUAAAUAUUAAAAUUGAAUUCUGGUAUCUAUGAUGAGUUUAUUUGAUAACUUUCUUAACAUUAAAAUCAACAUAAACUCGUCCCUUUGUCUUUUAAAAGGAACAAAUCGCUCAGUUUAUGAAAGUUUUUUAUUUUAACUCCACCAUUAUUCAUUUUGAAUUAUUACUUGGCAUGCUUAUUAUGAUAUUCAUUUAAACACGUUUUCCCUUAUUAUACCCCACGCAACGAAGUUGCGGAGGGUAUAAUGUUUUUGACCCGUCCGUCCGCGUCGUUCGUCGUCAUCAUGUUUCUUGUCAUCGCAACUCUCUCAAACCACACAAAGAAUUUCACAAAACCUUUCAGAUGAAAAGGACAUACUAUGUAGUUGUGCAUAUCGACAGGAAAUUGCGAUUCAAUUUUUUUAAGAGUUCGCCCCUUUGAACUUAUUUGCUUAAUGUACUACUGCAACAGUUUGUCAUCGCAACUCCUCUGAAACUACACAACAGAAUUUCACGAAACCUUUUUAGAUAAUAAGGACAUACUAUGUAGAUGUGCAUAUCGACAGGAAAUUACGAUUCAUUUUUUUCUAGAUUACCCCCCUUUGAACUUAUUUACUUUAAUACUGCAACGUUUGUCAUCGCAAACUCCUCUGAAAUACACAACAGAAUUUCAUGAAACCUUUUAAGAUAAUAAGGACAUACUAUGUGUUGCAUAUCGACAGAUACGAUUCAAUUUUUUUUCUAGGAGUUACUUCUUUGAACUAUUUGCUUUAAGGUACUACUCAACAGUUUGUCAUCUCAACUCCUCUGAAACCACCAACGAAUUUCAUGAACAUUUGAGAUAAUAAGUCAUACUAUGUAGAUGUGCAUUCGACAGGAAUUCGAUUCAAUUUUUUUCUAGAGUUACGCCCCUUUGAACUUAUUUGCUUCAAUGUACUUCUGCAACAGUUUGUCAUCUCAACUCCUCUGAAACCACACAACAGAAUUUCAUGAAAUUUUGUAGAUAAUAAGGACAUACUAUGUUGAUGUGCAUAUUGACAGGAAAUUAUUAUUCAAUAUUUUUUUCUUAUACAAUUUUAUUUUCUUACACUUAUUUAAUUUCUCCAAUGACAAUGUGGGGACGUGGGGGUAUGUGAGCGUGCUCACUAAGGUUCUUUAAUUUCAAUAGUCUUUUUCUGUAGUUUAUACCAUUUGUACAAUUUCCUCUACAAGUCAGAGUAAAACGCAUCAAAUUACUGAAAGUAGUCGAAAUGUUAAUGAUAUAUGUAAUUCAUAACCUUAAACAUCACAAAAAAAGAUGAGGCCAUCCCUUCGCACCUGCUACUCUAACAUGAUUUAUUAUUUCCUUUCGAUAUUGCUUUGCUUUUCAUCAUUAUUUUACCAGGACACCAUUUUUUAUCAUCUUUUUGACAUAUUUCACUUUGCUUUUUGCAAAUUGUGAUGAAUUUAGAUACAAAAAUACACUUUCAUUUAUAAUAAUAUUAUGUAAAUGUCGAUUCAUUGUGAAUUGAUGUACACCUAUGCAUACUGUCAGAUAAACAUUUGUCAGCCCUUUUAAUGCAAAGGUUAUGUUUUUCUCAUAUUACAGUAGUAUGGCGGAUAGUCAAUUUGGUGUCAAUUGCCAGCAUAGGGAUGAAGACACAAAAACAAUAUCUGCGUGCAAUGGAUGCAGCGAUGUUGUUGGUCACACAUGUGCUAGCAUUCACGAAAAGAUGUUACCAGCUCAUAAAACAGUACCAAGUAAAGAAAUACAACAACCUACUUCAACUUUUAUUGAAAUGUCCGAGAACUGCGACAUUCAUCCCCGUCAUAAGAGUGUACUGUUCUGUUGUACACAUGACAAGGUGGUCUGCAAUAUAUGUGUAUUUGUAUCACAUCAGAAUUGCAAACCAAUCAUCUCAGUUGAAAAGGCUGCCAAGG